Molecule: transfer RNA, 90 nt
Filed under: Mucilaginibacter hurinus
Lineage: Bacteria; Pseudomonadati; Bacteroidota; Sphingobacteriia; Sphingobacteriales; Sphingobacteriaceae
Description: Mucilaginibacter sp. ZR32 tRNA-Leu
Source: RNAcentral
GCCCCGAUAGCUAUCGGGGCGGUAGACGCGCUGGUCUCAAACACCUGUGGCUGCAAGGCCGUGUCGGUUCGACCCCGGCUCUGGGUACAA